This 253-nucleotide ribosomal RNA is filed under the name uncultured bacterium. RNAcentral describes it as "partial 16S ribosomal RNA". It matches the Rfam family "Bacterial small subunit ribosomal RNA", at positions 524 to 776 of the family's 1533-position model. The record is from RNAcentral.
UACGUAGGUGGCGAGCGUUGUCCGGAAUUACUGGGCGUAAAGAGCGCGUAGGCGGGAAUUUAAGUCAGGAGUGAAAACUGUGGGCUCAACCUGCAGCUUGCUUCUGAAACUGGAUUUCUUGAGGGUAUGAGAGGAAAGCGGAAUUCCUAGUGUAGCGGUGAAAUGCGUAGAUAUUAGGAGGAACACCAGUGGCGAAGGCGGCUUUCUGGCAUACAACUGACGCUGAGGCGCGAAAGCGUGGGGAGCAAACGGG